GAUGAACGCUAGCGGCAGGCUUAAUACAUGCAAGUCGUGGGGCAGCGCGGGUAGCAAUACCUGGCGGCGACCGGCAAACGGGUGCGGAACACGUACGCAACCUUCCUUUAAGCGGGGAAUAGCCCAGGGAAACUUGGAUUAAUACCCCAUAAGAUUAUGGUGUGGCAUCACACAGUAAUUAAAGCUCCGGCACUUAAAGAUGGGCGUGCGGCUGAUUAGGUAGUUGGCGGGGUAACGGCCCACCAAGCCUACGAUCAGUAACUGGUGUGAGAGCACGACCAGUCACACGGGCACUGAGACACGGGCCCGACUCCUACGGGAGGCAGCAGUAAGGAAUAUUGGUCAAUGGACGCAAGUCUGAACCAGCCAUGCCGCGUGGAGGAUGAAGGCCCUCUGGGUUGUAAACUUCUUUUAUUUCGGAAGAAACCGGAC
This 432-nucleotide ribosomal RNA is filed under the name Saprospiraceae bacterium Ellin7148. RNAcentral's name for it is "bacterial SSU rRNA". It matches the Rfam family "Bacterial small subunit ribosomal RNA", at positions 28 to 456 of the family's 1533-position model. The record is from RNAcentral. Lineage: Bacteria; Pseudomonadati; Bacteroidota; Saprospiria; Saprospirales; Saprospiraceae.